Molecule: ribosomal RNA, 117 nt
Filed under: Omnitrophica WOR_2 bacterium RIFCSPHIGHO2_02_FULL_50_17
Lineage: Bacteria; Pseudomonadati; Candidatus Omnitrophota
Also listed under: 1 other name
Source: RNAcentral
UCCGGUAACUAUACUGGAGGGGAAACACCCGUUCCCAUUCCGAAUACGGCAGUUAAGCCCUCCGAGGUCGAUGGUACUAUGGUCGCAAGGCUAUGGGAGAGUAGAACGUUACCGGAU